AAUCAUCCAGGCUGGUUCGCUGUCGUCGACAGCACCUGUCCCACGUGGUCGCGAUCUUCCAGGCCACGGUGCGCAUUGCGCAUUGAUCGUCUGAAGUUCGCCCAGUAUUCGGAAGCGCGAACGGUCGUCGAUGC
Molecule: non-coding RNA, 134 nt
Rfam family: radC RNA